This 449-nucleotide ribosomal RNA is filed under the name uncultured bacterium. RNAcentral's name for it is "partial 16S ribosomal RNA". It matches the Rfam family "Bacterial small subunit ribosomal RNA", at positions 29 to 523 of the family's 1533-position model. The record is from RNAcentral.
AACGAACGCUGGCGGCAGGCCUAACACAUGCAAGUCGAGCGAAGCCUUCGGGCUUAGCGGCGGACGGGUGAGUAACGCGUGGGAACGUGCCCUUUGCUACGGAAUAGCCCCGGGAAACUGGGAGUAAUACCGUAUGUGCCCUUCGGGGGAAAGAUUUAUCGGCAAAGGAUCGGCCCGCGUUGGAUUAGGUAGUUGGUGGGGUAAUGGCCUACCAAGCCGACGAUCCAUAGCUGGUUUGAGAGGAUGAUCAGCCACACUGGGACUGAGACACGGCCCAGACUCCUACGGGAGGCAGCAGUGGGGAAUCUUAGGCAAUGGGCGCAAGCCUGAUCUAGCCAUGCCGCGUGAUCGAUGAAGGCCUUAGGGUUGUGAAGAUCUUUCAGGUGGGAAGAUAAUGACUGUACCACCAGAAGAAGCCCCGGCUAACUCCGUGCCAGCCGCCGCCGUAA